AACUUUUUGUUCUAAAUAAUCUUAAUGCUUAAGUUUUGUUUACCACGAGUUCUAUACUAAGUCCAAGAUUAAAGUUAAGAUUAUUUGCAAUAACUUAUAGAUAGAUUCACACAACACUUUUCUUGGCUAUGCUUGUUAUUGUUGGGAACUUUAUAUUAGGGACCCCAUGCACUUAGGCCCUUGUGGAAUGUGAGAUAGGAGAAUAAUGAGAACCUGAUUCUUGAUAUUUUGUCAUUUGGAGAAUUUCUUUUUCUAUUUAUUUUAUGGCUAUACCCUCCUAUGUGGUAAGAUACAAUGCCUACCUAAGCCUUACAUGUUCAUAAACCUAGCUCAUAAGCUACUCACAUUGUGUUGAGUUGAGUCAAACCAUGCAAGACCCUUGUUGAGAGGAGUUUUAUGUCCCUAAGAUCUAGAUCACGUACACCCACAUAUAUCUGCUGCUCGAAUCCUGGGAGUAUGCAAAAACAUGCUUUUCCAUCACAAAAUUCUAUCUCCUACAUUGGGAGAAGAGCCAAAAAGAUUUUGGUUUCCAAAUAAAUGCUCCAUGUUUGUGACUGACUCCUUUUCCAAGUUCAUUGUAUUCCAAGACAUGGAGCUAUGAGUUCUAAAAAGAUAUAAUAAAAAUAAAAAUAGAGUAAAACAUGGACAAGUGUCCUACCAAAACAAUGGGUACCUAGAUUGCCACCUCUCUGAAAAAAAGAAAGAAAACUUAGAGUUCCUACUCCUGUACCUAUAGAAACAUCAUUACAAGAGAGUCCAAAGAUCUUCAUUGCAAAUUCAAGAAGAGCCUCCAAGGAGCAAAGUAGAAUUAGUUUAGCCACCAAAUGUUUCCAUACACAUGCACAAUCUUUAUCUAAGGGUGUGGCUCUCCCCUCUGAGGAUCCUGUUUUAAUUUGGCAACACAUGCAAGGUAAGUAUGCUACAUCCUUGAAAUACCUAAAACUCUAGAUAUAGCCUUCUAGAGGUAUGAUGUUUUUAAGGCAUAAAUCAUGCCUUGGUGAGAUCUAAAAAUACCACAUAUAUGAGCAAUCGAGUGCACCACAAGGAGAGGAGGUAAGCUAUGUUUUUCAAUUAUUAUAAAAAAUCCAAGUGACAGGAUCGAUGGGAGAAGGGACUCUGUUUCACACUGC
RNAcentral lists this long non-coding RNA (1130 nucleotides) under Sorghum bicolor (sorghum). RNAcentral's name for it is "long non-coding RNA (SBIC_LNC008794)". The record is from RNAcentral. Lineage: Eukaryota; Viridiplantae; Streptophyta; Magnoliopsida; Poales; Poaceae.